Molecule: long non-coding RNA, 5950 nt
Organism: Hypanus sabinus (Atlantic stingray)
Lineage: Eukaryota; Metazoa; Chordata; Chondrichthyes; Myliobatiformes; Dasyatidae
Exons: 2
Source: RefSeq, a predicted model, not a curated record
AAUAAACAUUGGCACAUAUUCUAAGAUAGAACUAUUUUCCUUUUCACUUGUGAGAGAAUUACAGGCCAUAUUUAUAAAAUCAGAUUUUCAGAUUUGCACAGAUAGACAGUGCACCCUGUGAAUUUUUGCUGAAGUUGUGACAGAAAUUUAGAAUUUUUUGCUCAAAGCUAUAACUGCGUGCGUGUGGAAAGGUGCUAUCAUUUUUACUACAUGUGGUGAACUAUGUGCCUGUCUGGACACGCCCCCUGCUGACUGCUCCUGUGGCUCCUCCCACAGGCCCCUGUAUAAAGGCGAUCUGAGGCCUGACGCUCGGCCUCAGUCUACAGGACAUUGUAUGAUAGACACUCACUCCUGGUUCCUUCUUCCAGUCAAUAAAAGCCGAUAUCUCGCCUUACGUCUCAGUGUGAGUUAUUGAUGGCGCAUCAAUACGUAAUGAUAAUGAUGACAAAAUAGAAUCUUGCACAAAUUCUCACAACCAAUUGACAGUAUUCCACUGACAAAUUUGUUUCAAGGACCUGACUGCAGCCUGAAUGUUCUGGAUGUACUUCCAGAUAGAAAUUCAAAGUCCUUAUUGCAAUGUUAGAUAACAGUUAGCCAUUUAUAUCGGGUACUUCUCUAAAUCUUGCAAGUAUUAUUGUAUACACAUACUACACCUGCUGAACUUGUCAGAAUCAGAAUCAAGUUUAAUAUCAUGAAAUUUGUUGACUUUACUGCAGCAGUAUAAUACAUGAUAAAUAUAGAAAAAAUUGAAUUACAGUCAUUAUAUGUAUCUUAAAUAGCUAAGUUAAAAUAAAUAAUACAAAAUCAAUUUUUUUAAAAAAAUAUUGAGCUGGUAUUGAUGGGUUCAAUGUCCAUUUAGAAAUUGGAUGGCAGAGGGGAAAAAGCUGUUCCUGAAUUGUUGAGUGUGUGUCUUCAAGCUCCUGUACCUCUUUUCUAAUGGUAACAAUAAGAAAAGGGCAUGUAUUGGGUGGUGGGGGUCCUUAAUGAUGGUUGCUGCCUUCCUGAAGCACUGCUCCUUGAAGAUAUCUUGGAAACUAUGGAGAUUAGUACCCAUGAUGGAGCUGACUAAUUUUGCAACUUUCUGCAAUUUACUUCAAUUCUGUACAGUAGCCCCCACCAAUACCAGAUGGUAAUGCUGCCAGUUAGAAUGCUCUCCAUGGUACAUCUGUAGAAAUUUGUGAGUGUUUUAGGUGACAUAACAAAUCUUCUCAAACUGUUAAAGAUGUAUAGCUGCUGUCUUGCCUUCUUUAUAUUUGCAUGAUAUGUUGGGACCAGGCUAGGUCCUCAGAGAUAGUAAUACCCAGGAAAUUGAAAUUGAAAUUUUGAUCCCUCUAUGAGGAUUGGUUUGUGUUCCCUCAUCUUAGCGUUCCUGAAGUCCACAAUCAGCUCUUUGGUCUUGCUGAUGUUGAGUGCAAGUUUGUUGCUGCAACACCAGUCCAUUAACUGGUACAUCUUGCUCCUGUACACCUUUUCAUCACCAUCUGAAAUUCUGCCAACAAUGGUUGUAUCAUCAGCAAAUAUUUAGAUGAUAUUUGAACUGUUCCUAGCCACACAGUCAUGGGUGUAGAGAGAGUAGAGCAGUGGCCUAAGCACACAAUCCUGUGGUGCACCAGUAUUGAUUGUCAGCGAGGUGGAGAUGUUAUUUCCAUUCUACACAGAUUGUGGUCUUCUGGUUAGGAAGUUGAGGAUCCAGUUGUAGAGGGAGAGGUACAGAGGCUCAGGUUCUGUAGCAUUUCAAUCAGAACUGUUGGGAUUAUGGUGUUAAACACUGAGUUAUAGUCAAUAAACAAUAUCCUGACAGAGGUAUUUGUAUUAUCCAGGUAUCCAAGGCCAUGUGGAGACCCAUUGAGAUUGUGUCAAUAGACCUAUUGUGGCAAUAGGAAAAUUGCAGUGGAUUCAUUUCUUGCAGAAUCUCCAACUACUUUUCUCUGUCUCAGCCCAGCAAACCCCAAAGCUCAGGCCCCAACCCCAAUCUCCUAAACACAUGAAUUUAAGAUUCAUCAAGGCCUCAAACUUGACUUUUUUACACCACCAUCCAAUUACUGAUUGGAGCGUUCCCUUUUGAGCUCUCCUUGACCAUUACAGCAAAUGUUCUUGCUGCCUUUUCCCCAACCACAGGGGCAUAGGACACCAAUGCAAUCUCCAUUCCUCCACCAUUCACACCCAUCCUAACAUGGAGAGUAUUUCUAAGGGAAUUUAUCGCAAUAACAUUACUUGUGAACUGAAACUGCAGUUAGCUACUGUAUUUGAAUAAUGAUAUUUACUGUAUUCUGGCAUCUCUCGGUGACUUGCAUCAGUGAUAUCAGUCCAUAAAUGGUCUUCACCUAAAAUGUCAACUGUUUAUUUCCCCUACAAAUGCUGCCUGACAAACUGAGGUCCUUCAGCAUCUCAGGUUUUGCUCCAGAUUCUAGCAUCUGCAAUCUCUUUUGUCUCCGUCUUACAUCAGUGGUAUCUAAGCCCUGUUGCUAUAAAGAGGGAUGCCUGUACACCCAUUUUCUUUUUUAGAUCUGUUACGUAAUCAUUUAAGAUUCUUCUUAAAAGGGAAUCUACAAUAAGUUUGAAGAUUUAAGACACUGUAAUCUACAGAAAAUGGAAAGAGAAAUUAUUAAGUUUUAGUAUUGUGUACAGUUCAGCAACAACUACCACAUACUUUACUUCAAUGUUUAAUAUGGAAAAAUCUGCUUUGACAUAUUUAAUUACACAAAUUGUAAGAUACAAACUGUCAUUACUUCUAUUGAUAUGAAAUUCUAAUGGAAGCGAUCGAAAGUUCAUUGGUGUAUUAAAGAAAAGGAAUGGAAAGGCUGUAUAAAGUGUAAUUUAUUUGGGAAAAUGAUUACACCUGAAAACCAGCAUGCUACAAAUUUGACAGCAAUUCACCUGCGAGAGUUUUCUUUGCAUUUACUCAAAUUACAAAAUGGCAGAUAAACAUGGAGACUCAACAAGAAUGAUUUCAAUGAAAAACGUGCCUAAUUGCCACCUCAAUUCAUGAUUUGAUGCUGUUUUUCCAAAUAUCAGCCAACACAAUUUGAAAUACCAAUCACUGUACGAAAGAGCAACUUUAAGAACAAAAAUUGAUGCAGUGCAGGUCAGGAAUACAGAUUUUCUUUUGAAACUUCCCAGACAACAUGUACAAGUCAGUUGACAGUGUGACAGAUAUUGAUGAGGCUGUACAUUUCUUUUUUUUUGGUAAUUUUUUUAUUGAAGUUCAUCAAAUAUUUCCAUAAGAUGUAUAUCAGACAUUGUACAUACACAUCAUAUAAUCAUAUAUAUCACAAAUCUCCACAAAGUAUUUAUCUGAGGUAUACACUUAUAGAAAAGAGUGGAAAGAAAAAACAAGCAAAAGGAAAGAACUAUGUACAAGUAGGGAGUGAUUUUUUUUUACAACAGAUUCAUUGAUUUGUGAGAAUAAAAUCAGGCCUAUGAGGCAUUAUGUAGUUAAACCAUUUUUCCCAGUAUGAAUCAAAUUGUUCCAGCUUAUGAUUAACAGAUGCUGUUAUCUUCUCCAUUUUGUAAAUGUCCAUUGUAAUUUCCAUCUAUGUAUUUAAAGUUGGGCUCUCCUGUGAUAACCAUUUCCUAGUAAGAGUCUUUUUACCAGCCACCAACAGUAUAUUCAUUAAAUAUUUAUCUCUUUUCAACCAUUCUUGAGGUAUAUAUCCAAAAUAUAUGGUCUUACUCUCCAAGGGUAUUUCACAUUUAAAGAUGUCUUGUAGGGCAUUGUGUAUCCCCCUCCAAUAGUUUUUGAUAACAGGACAGUCCCAAAAAAAUAUGAUAAUGAUUUGCAUUUUGAUAAUGGUAGUAGAAUCAUUUCAAGCAUGUAUAAGGGGUUGUCAAAUUUUAAAACACAUUCGACUUCAUACAUUAAAACAAAAUGGGAGAAGGAAGGAGGGAUAAUUAUAUCUGAGAAAGAAUGGACAACAAUAUGGAGAUAUCAAUGGAAGUGUACCAAUUCACAGAGUUUGGAUGGAAAAACUUGUUAAGAUAUUUUAUUACACCCUCUCAGAAAUCCCAUUAUGAUAGUAACCUCCCCGUUUGCUGGAGGCUGUACAUUUCCUGUUGAAUUUUUUAAACUUUCUGUCGCCAAGAAUAUGUUUCCUUAAGUAAUUUUGAAUUAAAAGCAGUACAGGUACAAGUUCAAGUUUAUUGUCUUUCAACUGUACAGAUGUACACUGCCAAACAAGAAAAUAUUCCUCUGGACCAAGGUGCACAGUACCGUACAUAUAACACACACAAAUAACACAUAAGGUAAUAUUACCAGAAAUAAAUUAACGUUAUUCAUUAUGCCCACACAAUAGAAGUUAAAAAGUAAACUGUACAACGCUACUGGUGCUUCAUAUGGGAUGAGACCAGGACGGUGGCAGGGAGUUCAGUAGUCUUAUGGUCUAGGGCGGGGGUCGGCAACCUGCGGCUCCCGAGCCAUUUGUGGCUCUUUCACCUCUGUGCUGCGGCUCCCUGUGGCUUUGGGAAAUAAUUGGUCAGUAUUUAAUUAAAAUGUAUUUUAUGUUAGUUUGUUAGCUUUUGAAAUGUAAUUAUGGUGAUCUUGUACAACCUAAGUGUAGCGACACAUUUCCUGCCACAUCCGAAACGGCUCACAAUUAGCCAGCAUUCCGGCUAAGGGAGAUAGCCUACGGGGGUUUGUGAGUACGCGUCUUUUGCAGCAUCUGCGUCCAUGGGGGCUGGGUUGAGGGAGGCUUAAAAGCAAGGCUGUUUAGUUCGAAUAAAGCUAUCUUUGACUGCAGUUUACUGACACCGCUACAACGUGUUUUUAUCGCUGGCUGUCCAGACGGAAGGUGCUGAAACGCUUUGUCGCGUGUCUGGAAGAAGUGAAAACUUUCCUGGGCAGCAAAGGGCUCACCUUUCCUGAGCUGGAACAGCCAGAGUGGCUGGAAAAGCUACACUUCAUGGUAGACAUGACAGCGCACCUGAACACGCUGAACACAGCUCUUCAGGGGAAAGGACGUACAGCCCUGCACAUGUUGGAGGAUGUUUUGGCAUUCGAGCGCAAGUUGACAGUGCUUGCCAGAGAUUUACAGAAAGGCACUUUGUCUCACUUCCCCAAUUUGAGAGAGUUCAAACAAGGUCACGACAUGAUAAUUUCGGAGUAUUUACAUUCUGCAAUCAUCGCAAUGCAAACAUCGUUUGGGAAACGCUUCUGUGAGUUCAGAGAGGAAAAAAACACAUUAUCCUUCCCGGUCACUCCCUUAAGCAUCGAUCCUUCCCUACUGAAUACGACUGCAUUGGCAGGUGUGAGUCAACCUGAUCUUGAGAUGGAACUGGCCGACAUAGCCGACAAAGACAUAUGGGUGUCCAAGUUUAGACGCUUGACAGCAGACCUUGAAGAUGUUGCCCGUCAGAAGGCCGUUCUUGCUCAGAAACACAAAUGGAGUGAUAUUGAAAACCUCACAGAUGACAGCUUGCGAUCCUGUGUAAAGAUGAAGGUGACAUCAUACAGCCCUGAUGUGCAGACGCUGUGCGCUGAGGUCCAGGAGCAGAAAUCCCAUUAACCAAGAUGACAGCUGGCUGACGUUAUUUUUGGUUUGCUGCUGGCGGAAAAUUUAAGUUCGGCGUUUUUCAUAAAUACAAGAAGGACUCAAAUAGACAUUGAAUAUUUUACUUAAAAGUAACUUUCAACCCAACGUCUUUUUUUCGGAGUUCAAAAUGUUUUUGUUGCAUGCAGAAAUGUAAUUUCGUUUUCUCUGCAGGAGUUCAUCAAUUUCAUAAAUGCAACACAUUAUAGUUUGUUUAUACAUAGCAUAAAGGCAAAAAAAAACGUUGUUUGCAGUGUUAUUUCAUUUUAAAUGUCAAACGGGUUUUGCGGCUCCCAGUGUUUUCUUUUCUGUGGGAAACGGGUCCAAGUGGCUCUUUCAGUGGUAAAGGUUGCUGACCCCUGGUCUAGGGUAAGAAGCUGUUUCCCAUCCUAACAAUUCUUGCCCUAAUUUUACAGUACCUCCUG